This 175-nucleotide long non-coding RNA is filed under the name Capra hircus (goat). RNAcentral's name for it is "lncRNA (ENSCHIG00000007242.1)". The record is from RNAcentral. Lineage: Eukaryota; Metazoa; Chordata; Mammalia; Artiodactyla; Bovidae.
AAAUGAAGCCCACUAGGCCUAACUAGUUAUGAAGGAGGCCAUCCAAGAUCAUUAGCCCCAGGCUCAGCCAAGCCCAGCUGACGGGCAUGCGUGUGACAUGGGAAGAUCCCACCCAGACUCAUGGACCCUGGAAACAGCUGGUUUUGAAAUCAAGCAGAUAUUGAAUAUCUGGUGA